Molecule: long non-coding RNA, 9308 nt
Organism: Sebastes umbrosus (honeycomb rockfish)
Lineage: Eukaryota; Metazoa; Chordata; Actinopteri; Perciformes; Sebastidae
Exons: 2
Source: RefSeq, a predicted model, not a curated record
UUAAAGUAUUCGAAUACUGAUUUAGAGGUCUAUUACCAUGGCAACGGUCGAAGCUUCAAAGCAUUCAGGUCAGCCCUAGUUUUUGAUUUAUCAAUCCAUUGAUUUUCAUUUUCCCGCACAAGCUCCGUUAUGUCCACAGUGAAACUGGGAGCCUUGAUCAGUCAUUGCUAAUACUGUUAAUAAGUUCAGAACUUCUAAACAGCAGAAGAUUUGUGUGGUUCAGUCAGCUGUCUGUGGAGAUAACGCUGCUCUCAACAUGCAGUAGCUACUGUAAAUCUCAACUCUUAUAAAAGGAUUCUAAAUUCAGCACACAAUGGCCAGAAACAGGUCAAACCUGUAUAUUCACACUAGUAUACAGUCAUUAUAAAGAAACAGUUCUGAUACAUUCAUGGCUACAUAUCCGCGUUGUUCCCAUACUCCUUUAUCUCAGUGGUAAAGCCCCGUCAACAGGAGUCCACGUCCUGUACCAGACUGGUGAGAGCCAUUUCAACCUCAGCAGUGGGAUAUUUCACAGAGAGGGCUUAGGCUGUGAGCUACACUUCCUUUGGCUAGUUCCACUCACUCCCAUUUAACAAAGCACUCUUGGUUGGAAUCCAGUGAAAUUAGUACAGCAACUUUUGCUUUCAGACAAACCUGAUCAGGUUGCAGGAUUAAAGGCGGCAACAUCGUGAAUGUAGAACUUCCUGUCAGCCGAUCACAUGAGCUUUUCUUUAAUUUAUGAAAACCUUUGUAUUUAACCUUUUUGUUUUGCGGUUAGAAAACAUGUUUGAAGUAUUACUGUAGAAGAAACAUUGAGGUAUACCUUGACAAAAUAAAAAUUUGGUGUAAGUUUUAUCCUUCCUGGUUUUCCAACUUAUUCUGGGCCCUUUAAACAUGUUUUGUAUUAGUCUCAUUUCAUUUCCUGUUGGCUGCAUUUUUUAAAUGGUACGGCAGAGGAAAGAGUCUGACUUCUAACCUUAAAGGUAUAAUAUGCAAGAAUUAAUGAAAAAACACUGUAUAGGCUGAUACCAAAAUAGUCCCAGUCACUCUAUAGCUCGCUCGACCAUCGUUGCGCUCUCUCUCUCUCUCCCCCCCUCUGGGCUCGUGGAGGAGUGGAGGUGUGGCCAACUUUGAAUGCAAUGUGUUUCCAAACAGCAACCGACAACAGUUCCAUAUUACACCUUUAAUAUAACAAAUUGUAAUCUCCAUUAAACCACAAUAUAAGGUCUCUUUCUGCAACCACGAAGGGUGGAAUGCUUUCUUCUAUGCAUGAUUUGAAUUGUGCAUUCCUCUACUUCUUGCUUUUAAAAUGCAGGACUGUGCAUGCUACCUGACUAAGUUAAAGUCAAAGUCAAGUUUAGUGAAACCGCUCUAAGCUAGAGUAAAAAGUCUAUAAAGGUUUAAUGAAGCAAGAUCUGCAUCCACGAGUCCAGUUUUCUAAGCCUCCUUUGUGAAAUCCCCUCAGUGUUCACCACAGUCACAGGGCUGCUGUCUGUCACUUUUCUGGUCAUAAGGAGGCUUUUUUUUUUUAUUUUAGUGCCUUGGAUUUAUGCUCCUCCAUUUCUGUGAAUUUGGCCCAUUCUGAAAAGAACUUUGUUUAACCAGUGCAGGUGUUCAGACCUCGGAGUAACAUCUGGCAAACCAAUGUGUUGACUUCAAGCUGUCAUCUUGAGGUGUUCCAACCUGCUGUUCGGUUGUCACCUCAGUUACUGACUUCAUAAAUCUGCAUGGAAAUAUCUUUAGUGGCAUCAUCAUCAUCAUCAUCAUCAUCAUCAUCAUCAUCACAAUCAAAAUAAAUAGAGAACAAUGUAGGUGGCAUGAAGGCCUUUAAAGAUCAUGUACAUUCUCAGUUGUCCCAAAUUGUACCCUAAAUUCAAAGUGAGUGCAGUAACGUAGAUGGGCUAGUGUAGACGGUUGAUUGAUGGGAGAGUGAUAAUGGCAUUAGUUUGAAUUCAAAAGAAAAACUUGAAAUGUGAUAAAGUCACUGUAAAACAAAAAAGCAAAAAAAAAAAAAUUCCUGACGUUUCUCUGUGCAUUCGUAGGCUUAGCAAUAUUUCACGAAAAUACUGUAUUACAUCAGAAAACUCACUGUAAAAAAAUGUAUAGCUAGCACAAUAUUUUGAGCAGCAGAUCAGUUGUGAUCUUCAGCUUUAGUGUGUUGAGGAUUCAAGUACUAAACAGGUCAAAUCUACUCAUAUCAUUGUGUUCGUAGCCUUGGACUUAAUUGUAAAGUUAGUCUAAAUUUAGCUGCCCUCUUUGUAAAUACGCUCAUUCGCAUUCUUGCUAAAAGUUAGAUGAGAAGAUGGAUAUCAGUCUUUGUACAGUUAAUAUGUAGCUGGAGCCAGCGAGUCUGUUAGCCUAGCUUAGCAUAAAGACCGGAAACAGGGGUAAACAGCUAGCCUAGCUCUGUCCAAAGGGAACAACAUCUGCCUACCAGCACCCUCAAGGCUCGCUAUUCAACACUGAGAUAACUAGCUGUAGCUGCAUAUUUAUCUACAAAUAGUACGUUAAAUAUGAAGCUAGAGCCAGAAUGUGAUUAGAUUACGGUGACCAGACGUCCCGGUUUGUCCGGGACAGUCAGGGUUUGUCCAGGACAGUGCCGGUUUUCAAGCUGGGUGUCCCGUAUCCCAACAAAUAUCUGUAAAACACUCAAAUGCCCGGUUUUCAAGUCACUGACAAAUUGUCCCUGUUUUCAGCACAAUUCAAAUAAUAAUAUUAUACUUAUAUAGACCGUUCCACUCAUUAAUUAACUUGUGCGCAUUGGUAUACAGAGAGCCAACACAGCACACCGCUGCAGUCUCUGUAGAGAGUGAUGCUGCAAGUUGUCAAGCCACAGUUACGCACAGACACAACAGAUAUCCGCUGUUACAUUUAGUGUAGUUUUGAUCCACAGAACCCUCCGUGCUUAUGUGCACAUUAAACGUGUGUUUUGAUUAAUUAUUCUACACAGUUCCUUCUGCGCAUCAACAGGCUUUUAGCUCCUCUUAUAACUCCCUCAGGACCGGCCGUUCCGUCUUUCUCCCGGACGGCGUCUCCAUCCUGGACAAAAUGUCCUCUAAGCUCCGCAAUGUUUAUUACAAUAGCCUGAGGCUGUGGUGAGCAACUUGAUGUGAUAGAGAUUGUUCAGGUUCAAAACUAAAGUUGAAAAAUAAUUUCCAUAGUCGCAAACAACAAUACGUUUCCUCUGAGGAAAACUCUCUACAGGACUCCCAAACUGUCAGUGCAUCAUGACGGGGAUAGUCUGUGAUUAAAGGGGGAGAAAGUAGUGAAUGUGGUGAGUCAUGAUCGUCACAGUCUCUAAUGCCCCCCCCUAAAAUAAUACCUUCUUUCUGAUCCCACUCCGUGCUCAAAUGUGCCACAGGUUUGUCAAGUUAGCCAUCCUGAUGAAAAUGCCUAUGGUGCACUGGCAUGCAUGAACGGGGGCGUGCAUGAACGUGCAGUACACUCAAGGGUCCCGGUUUGGGGGUUUCAAAAUAUGGUCACCCUAGAUUAGAUUAGCUGGAAACGGGUAAACAGCUAGUCUGACUCUGUCUAAAGGUAACAAAAUCUGCCCUGAAAGCUUGCUUAUUAACACUUCAUUUUUUUCUAGCCUUAAUGCUAAGCUAACUAGCUGUAGCUGCAUAUUUAUCUACAAAUAGUACGUUAAAUAUGAAGCUAGAGCCAGAAGGCAAUUAGCUUAGCUUAGCUGGAAACAGGGAAACAGCUAGCUUGGCCCUGUCCAAAAUUUGCCUAACAGCACUUCUAAAGCUCACUAGUUAGCAUAUCCUAUCUUGUUUGUUUAAUCUCUACAAAAACUGAAAUGUAAAAAGAGAAUUUAUGGUUUUAUAGCGUGCAAACUGUGUAGUUCUUGACCAGGCACUGUGACUUUCUAGCUAGCUGUUUUACCCUGCUUGCAGUUUUUAUGCUAAGCUAAGCUAACAGACGACUGGUUACAGCAACGUACAUUACAGAUAGACAAGAGUGGUAUCAAUCUUCUCACUGAACUCUGGCAAGAAAGCGUAACUUAAAAAAUAUUGAACUAUUCUUUUUAAAAAAAUAGCAUUCAUUUGGAGCGUCUUCAGUUAGCGUAGCAUAACAUUACUUUACAGUAGGUUAGAUCAACGUUUAGCCAGGCAGACCCCAAAAAAAUGCUUGACUUUAAAUUUAAAAUUUGCCUCAUCUUCAAGAGAUACUUAAAAUCUUGUGGUAAAAAUGUGUGAGAUUUACACAUAAUAUAAGCUGAUUUAUCAUUUUGACACAUAGCUAGAAAGCUGCGAAUGCUCAGAGAAACCUCCACCAUACUUUGUGUGACAUGUGCCUUUAAUUGUGGCUAGUAUCACAACCUAGACAUGUAAAUCAGGGAUGAUGAGACAUUGAUAAUGGACCAGAUGUGUAAAGAUGGCUACUUCCUGCCGUGACAUCGUUGAUUCACCCUGGGUCGUCGAGUGUUUCUGAGCUUCCUUACAACUCUCCGGGUGGGUCCAGGAAUCUGCCUGCUUUAACCACCUGAACCUCUUUAAACACUGAAGGUGUUGUUUCCUUGUACAGUCGACUAACAUAAGCCCGUAGCUUAUGACCUGGUUCAACUGAUCCGUGAAGUGGAUUCAGUUGCUUUUGUAGACCAGUGCAGUUCUUGACUUUGAGUGGCGUUCCAAAAUCAAAGACGGCUAUUUCUCCAUACAUAAAAUGUUAUCUUGAGAUGCAAAAUGGUGUAACUUUCUCCCCUAUCUCUCUUUCCUUCUCGGAACUGAAGUAAUGAAAAGAACUGAAAAGAUUUCCGAGGUUGAGCCAGGUCUUAUCUUUUACCAGAGAUCAGUGUACCUUUCUAGUCUUGCGAUGCAUGUACAUCUUUAUUAUGGAUUUUGGAGACUUUCAGUAGUUUUGGACAUGUUUAAAAAAAGACAAACAUAAGUUUAGUUUUUUUAAAAUCAGUGUUACUUUGUCUAAUUUCUCCUUGAGUACAGCUGGAGUAGCCAGUGAUGAGUUCUGACAACCAUCAACUUAGAGUCAAUGACACAUGGGGAACUUUUACCUUGUAGAAACGGUUAUGUAACAUGAGUAAUGAAUUAUGAAACUGUUUUUUUUUUUUUUAAAGUUCAUCUUUCUUUUUCAAAAAGUAUUAUUGAUGUCAACUACUCUCUCACUAAUCUGUUAGGACCUUUGCUUUCACUUGCCGUUCACGCUGCAGCCAUGUUGCAUUUUUAUCCCAGUAAGCAUCCUCUGCAGUGCAUCGACAAAUGGCUCAAGUUAAAAUAACCUCUAUAUUGUCAUUAGAGCAUCAGCAGUAUGGAGUUGCUUUGCAUUGUAAAAAAAAAAAAAAAAAAAGAGGGGAGGCUGGCAUACUGUAUAUAAUGAUGUCAUUUGUCUGAGAAAAGAUUUGUACUAUUGUUUCAAAUGUGCACUUAUCCUGAUAUUUUCUUUUUUUUGCUGUUUAAUAUCAGUCAAAUGCUAGAGCUCUUGAUAAUAAACUUAAAUGAUGUGUGGUAAAACUAGUAUCCUCUAUAGCAGGGUUGAGUGGCACACAGUCAUUAAUAAUGAAAUGUCCAUAGUGCUGCAGAACGUUAAUGAAAGACGGUGUUGGUUUUUCAUUUGACAGGGAAAAUCCACCCUAAAACUGAAUUCAUUAAUAAAGCACACAGGAAUUUUGACUGACAUGGGACUGAGAUAAUGACUGGAUUUCCAUUUUGAGACAAGUUCAUUCAUGUGAUAUAUUAGACAGGUUGGCAUUGUGACAGUAUUUUUAGUGGAAGUUUGGGUUCAUUUUCUGGUUACUACCAGUUAGCAGCACAACAAUUAAUUCGAUCCAAUAAGUGCAUUAAUGCUUAAAGUGAUACUCAAAUUUCUCAACCUACUCUGAAAAAAAUUAUCAUUUCAACCCACUCAACCAGCCUGGUCUCCUAAAUAUUACGUUCCCAUACAACUAAACUGCAUGGUGAAUUACUUCUCGAGGGGAACUUAUUUUGUCGUGGUUUGUUUUUGACGUAUCACAAAUCCAUUCCACGGAACUUCACGACGGGGUGAUGGAUGGGUCAACAAACACCAGACUUUUGACCAGUGUUCGUGUCCCAUGAGAAACUAAAACGUGCACUUAUUUUAAUGAUGAUGUUUGAAACCUAACCAAGUAGUUUUGUUGCCUAAACCUAACCAAACAGCUUUGUUGUGUUUUCUUUCAAUUUCAUAGUCAUUUUAAGCCAAACCAUGACGUAUUUUUACUAAGCCUAACAGCGUUUUAGUUUUGUUUCAAUUUGCAAUGUUAACCACAUGUUUAAAACUGAAUAAAAGUGUGACUGUAAUCCGGGAGAAAAUAUAUUUCCCUCGAAACGUAAUUGAGAAUGCAGUUUAGUCGUAUGGGAAUGUCAUUUUGUAGGAGACAGGUUGACUCAACAUACUGACAGUGGAAAUGUCCAUUGACAUUUGGAUACUUUUUUUUUCCUGCUGUGAAAACGUAUCACUGUAACUGACUUUUAACAAUGUUAAAAACAUGGAUGGGUGUGAAAGAGCGUUUGUGAACCCCCUCGAGGGCUUUCAACCAUAGCUCACGGUCUUCCCAAGGAGAUGAAGUUUGCUCAGUUCUUGUAUCACAUGAACAAGGUUAAAGAUUAUGUGAUGCAGUUAAAAGUUCUGAAAAAUAGCCAGCUAGUGGACUUUGAGUUAACAUGUUUUUUGUAAAAUUUUGGGUGGAGAUACAGUAAAACCCCCGAAAUGAUGCGAGUAGUUCAGUUUUAAAGGAAUAUUUAAGACAUUUUGGGAAAUAGCCAGCCUGGCUCUCUCUUAAUUUCUGAAAUACACAACACCUGUUAAACUAAUGAACAUGUCAUAUUUCAUUUGUUUAUUUCAAACACAAACAGAAAUGUAAAAAGUUAUGAUAAUUUCAGCACACAAGUCUCCCAUAAAACCACAACCUUUGUUUUUAAAUUUCUGGUUGUGUACAGAUUCAACCAAUAAAAUACAACUUGUUAGUUGGUUACCUUUACAGGUGUAAGUAGGCACAUUUAUCAAGCUGUAUUUUCCUAAAUGUAACAAGUCUUUCAACAUUGUAAAGAAAACACAUUUUUGUACCUUCUAGAAUGUACCACACUUUAGCUUAGGGAAAAGUUUGCCUCCUACAGUAACUAAAGUAACCUAUGAGAAUAACGUUUUAUGGUGGAUUUUCCCUUUCAUUUUAGGGGAUAAAAAAAGUCAUUGGUCAUUCCCUGGCUUUGUCAUCUCAUGUAUAGAGGCCCAGCUUGUUUUUAGUUUUUUUCAGUCACCAGUGAUGGAUAAUGACAGGUGUUUCAUUACGAUGAACGUUUUAUUUUCAUUUUAUUUCUGACUGGUGUUCAGUCGCCCUUGGACUGACAAAAAGAACCACAUGCUAGUUUGGAAGGUGUUACAGACCUCGAGUCUACAAAGGUCCAACCUUCAUAUCAGCUCUGUUGUGUCACGCCAGAGAUGAUGAAUUUCUUUGCAUUCGUGGCUGAGCUCCAACCUGCUUGUUGUUUUACUGUGCCUCCAAACACCAGGUAUAGAGUGUAUGUUCGACUUUUUACCGCUGGAAUUGAACCAACAGAAGCAGUUUAAAGGCUUUUUCAUGCAUUGGUUUGAUUUUUAGGGGGAUUAUUAAAAAAAACGUAAUACUAAGGCGAAUCUUGUACUAUAGUGGGAAAUGUAAAUGUAAAAAAGAUGAUGGAGGACUGUUGCAUGCUGGCCAGUUGGGGUCAUUGAAGAAUUGGUGCUAAUGACGCAUUUCUACAACAGGGAUUUUAAUUAAGAGUCUCCUAUAACUGACUGGUUGUGACAUCAUUAUCCAAUCCUGCUGUUUCCAUGGAAACAACUAACUUAAGAUGAGUCCAGUCGAGAUCAUGGCAGGAAAAUAGAUGUGGCGUCUUGGUCUGGUAUCUAGCCUUCUGAAAACAACGCAAAUGUGGUCAUAUGGCAAGUAGCAGGGGAAACAUGAACCAUUUGGGAUCUCAGACCAAAGUUUAAGACAAGAAACAGCAUGCGCGCAUUUAGGAUCAAGCUGUACAUUUUGAUUCAUCCUGGCAAUGUAAGGUGUCAUAUGGGAUACCCAAUGGCACUAUGAAGAACACUGCUGAGGACAUCCACAUAUUGCAGAUGCACUGUUCUUAAGAUGCUACUUAGUUGCACUGUCUUAUGUUUGUUGUUUUGGCAUGACACUGUCCUCAAUGCACUCCUCUGUCUCCAGUACAUUAGAACAGUACUAUAACAUGUGUCAUUUGGUACUCAUAAAGUAGGAUGCCACUACCAAAACUGUGUAACACUAAAAGAUGUAUUUUGAAACAGUAAUGCAAUCACUGUUAAUUCCCAUGAAACUUUUCAUAUUAGGAUCAAUGACUAGUACUUUACCUUCCGUGUUGGCAGCUGUUCACAUAAUGAAAGGUUCCAUGUCAUCUGACAGUGUUAACGGUAGUUGUUGGCUUGUUCACUGUUUUUCUCAUGAAAUGUUUGUUGUUUAGGGUGUUUUCCAGCUAAAUGCAGGGUAGUCGCUUUUCUUAAUAUUCAAAUGUCGUGAUUGUGUGCUGUUCUAAUGUUCUGCUGUACAGAGUGUAUUUUUUACCCAUGAUCUAAUGGGUUGCAGGAGGGGAAUGCUAGUGAUUUAAUCUGCAUUUUGCUUGAAUGAAUGAAUUCGUCAGCACCAAGGGAUACUCAAAAUCCAGCGAGGCAUUAGACAGAAUUAAUCAAUUCUUACUCUUAAAGCUACAACAUGGUUGUGUUGUCCUGCUAAUGUGGUCUGGGGACUGAAUUAUAGACGUCAACAAACCUUGAUUUUGACUUGAUAUCCCAGAAUAUAUAUAUAUAUAUAUAUAUAUAUAUAUAUACUGUAUAUAUACUGUAUAUGUCAAACAUACAGCGAUAAUGCAGAAAGCACAAGAAUUUGAAUUGAUGAGUCCCAAUUCAGUUUGGAAACUUUCAACCCUUUUAACUGUAGAAGAGUGCCAUGUGACCAUUUUGCAUCCCUACUUCACUAAGUCCAGUUGGGCUUGCAACAUGGUUUAUGUGGAACCACAUAUGAAAAGAAUUUUCUUUGAGGGUGCUUGCUGGUCCACAGCAGAUUUCAACAGUGGUUUAUUAGCAGACUGUAUAUAACAUCAACAAAUCCUAACUAGACACGCGCUGGGCUGUUUGACAGGAGAGUGACAGGAAGUGAAGACACGCAGAGAAUCUGUAGAUACUUAAACCAGGGUAGUCAAAAAAGCUGUAAACCUUGUGUGCACUUUUGGGCAUUUUUUUGUUUUCCUUUUGUACAUACUACUAGCAUUUAAGAUGUUUGGGUUGACAUGUCUGGUUAUAGUGCAAUAUAUUUUGUAUGCAAGCAGUUUCAAUAAAUAAAGGUCGAUCUUCCUCCGUUA